This is a long non-coding RNA of Drosophila mojavensis, 824 nucleotides long. RefSeq lists it as uncharacterized. NCBI's taxonomy places the organism in Eukaryota, Metazoa, Arthropoda, Insecta, Diptera, Drosophilidae. The record is from RefSeq and is a predicted model, not a curated record. The transcript is spliced from 4 exons.
CCAGGAUUCGUCAAAGCUCACUUAAAAAACUAGCAAUUGAAGCGCUGCAAUAUCUAUAUUGUGAAAGUAAAAAGAGGAUACUAUUUGACUCUCGUCUAUGCUGUUAGACACUUGUACUUCAGACUGCUGCGAUACUUGCCGAGUUCCGAUUUCAGCUUCAUAUUCGGUCGCAGCGCAUCGGCAAAGUAUUCGUCGCACGGUGCAUAUGUCAUAUAUAGUAUAAAGUCGGCGGCCUGCAGUCCAUCGGGCGUCUGAUAACAGAUCUUGGGCAGCAGCAAUCGUCCCUCGUAUUGACACUCCGAGAGCUUGUGACCCAGACCGUUCUCAAUGGCCAGUUUCAUGUUGGUGACGCCAGGAAUUUUGAUGCUGCAAAAGGACAAUAUAGUAUUCUAUAUGUAUGAUCUGUAAUCAGUAUGAUUCAGCUGAUGGGAACAGACGCUGGGAAUGUAACUUCUGUUGUAUAAGCCUUCUAAAUAUAGUAGAGUUUCUUAUGUAACCACAAUUUCACCUUGAGACUAUCUGGCCAGAAAGAAACUCAAGCAAGACGAAUCGAAAAACUAUAUGCAUUAUUCGGAUGUAGAUGUAGGGGACUCUAUUUGGCGCACAUCAGAGCAGAGCAGAGCAAUACAACUAACUAUGUAUAUAUAUAAUGUAAUUCGAAACCUGCAUGAAUCAUUCCAAGAGUGAUAUGGCAUAGCUCCUGUAUAUCUAUAGUCGACUCAGCAUAAGAUUAUCAAUUUGUCAACCUAACUCUGAGCUAAGCUAACUUCCUAUAGCAGCCAAAUCAGUUCUGUAUAUAUAAUAAACCGAGAAUCUGGCAUAGA